CAGUAGCCACGGUAAUACGUAGGGUGCAAGCGUUAAUCGGAAUUACUGGGCGUAAAGCGUGCGCAGGCGGUUUUGUAAUACAGAGGUGAAAUCCCCGGGCUCAACCUGGGAACUGCCUUUGUGACUGCAAGGCUAGAGUACGGCAGAGGGGGAUGGAAUUCCGCGUGUAGCAGUGAAAUGCGUAGAUAUGCGGAGGAACACCGAUGGCGAAGGCAAUCCCCUGGGCCUGUACUGACGCUCAUGCACGAAAGCGUGGGGAGCAAACAGGAUUAGAUACCCCCGUAGUCCCUGUCUCUUAUAC
RNAcentral lists this ribosomal RNA (301 nucleotides) under uncultured bacterium. RNAcentral's name for it is "partial 16S ribosomal RNA". It matches the Rfam family "Bacterial small subunit ribosomal RNA", at positions 509 to 807 of the family's 1533-position model. The record is from RNAcentral.